This 440-nucleotide ribosomal RNA is filed under the name uncultured bacterium. Its description in RNAcentral is "partial 16S ribosomal RNA". It matches the Rfam family "Bacterial small subunit ribosomal RNA", at positions 338 to 795 of the family's 1533-position model. The record is from RNAcentral.
CCUACGGGGGGCAGCAGUGGGGGAUAUUGCACAAUGGGGGGAACCCUGAUGCAGCGACGCCGCGUGGGUGAAGAAGCGCCUCGGCGCGUAAAGCCCUGUCAGCAGGGAAGAAAAUGACGGUACCUGAAGAAGAAGCCCCGGCUAACUACGUGCCAGCAGCCGCGGUAAUACGGAGGGGGCAAGCGGUAUCCGGAUUUACUGGGUGUACAGGUGGCGCAGACGGCGAUGCAAUCCAGGAGUGAAAGCCGGGGGCCCAACCCCGGGACUGCACUUGGAACUGGGUGGCGGGAGUGCAGGAGGGGGAGGCGGAAUUCGUGGGGUAGCGGUGAAAGGCGUAGAUAGCGGGAGGAAGAGUGGUGGCGAAGGCGGGUUGGUGGACAUCAACUGACGUUGAGGCACGAAGGCGGGGGGAGCAAACAGGAUUAGAUACCCUAGUAGUC